RNAcentral lists this ribosomal RNA (42 nucleotides) under Leptosphaerulina sp. Fanqin24L. RNAcentral describes it as "partial 28S ribosomal RNA". The record is from RNAcentral. Lineage: Eukaryota; Fungi; Ascomycota; Dothideomycetes; Pleosporales; Didymellaceae.
CUCGGAUCAGGUAGGGAUACCCGCUGAACUUAAGCAUAUCUA